Molecule: long non-coding RNA, 854 nt
Filed under: Sarcophilus harrisii (Tasmanian devil)
Lineage: Eukaryota; Metazoa; Chordata; Mammalia; Dasyuromorphia; Dasyuridae
Description: lncRNA (ENSSHAG00000020866.1)
Source: RNAcentral
UUCCUGGUACAUGAUCAGGUCCUUCCUAGUGCAUCAUACAGAAUAUAUACAGAGAUUCAUAUGCAGAGAUUCUCUUCUUGGUUUCAAUCCAACACGUGGAACUACUGGGAGCCAGUUUCUGGCUAUGAGUUAUUAAGUUGGUAUAUUGAUGUGAUUUUUAAAAAUAUUUUUUCUAACUGAUUACAGAGUUGGAAAAAUUGAUAGUUUGAAAAGUGUUGGAUUUGAAUUGAGUUCACAUAAAAAAUUAUGAAACUGACCUCUCUGGACAGUGAAUGAUGAUACUAGGAAGGGUAGCUGUGCCUUUGUCCAUCUAGGCACUAUUUUCCCAUGGUCACAUGAUGACUCUGUUUUUUUGGUGAUUUGUUUAUUCUUUUCUAAUAUUAGAUUAAAAACCAUACUUAAAUGGAAUUGCAUAGCAGUGACUUUAGAAUUUGGGACAUCCAUCAAAGUCAUUACAAGUUCAACUGAGAAGCUCAGAGCCCUAAGAAAAAUAGUAAUCAAAUACCCUUUGGAUAUUCAACCUAUAAUGUGGCUGGGAGAAGGCAGAGGGAGCUUCAAGAAAGCAGCCUCUUGAGAAGACUUCUUCUAAUGUACUGUAAUCUCCAUCUUGGAAAGCCAUGAUUUCAUCUUUAUCUUCCUGCCAUGAGAUGGUAACCGGAAGAGGUCUCUUCCUUCAAAAGGUCUGAAAUUCAUGACCUCAACUGAAUUUUUCCAGAUGACCACUGUCAAGAGGAGAAAUCCAAUCUUUUGCUUGACUUGAUAAAAGACAUUUACCCUAAAUGAGUUGUUCUUAUAAUAUAAUUCUGCUGCAAAAGUGUCUGCUCACUUAAAAAUAAAUUCUUAUUUGUGAUUUC